Molecule: ribosomal RNA, 502 nt
Filed under: uncultured bacterium
Lineage: Bacteria
Description: bacterial SSU rRNA
Rfam family: Bacterial small subunit ribosomal RNA
Source: RNAcentral
GAUGAACGCUAGCGGCAGGCCUAACACAUGCAAGUCGAGGGGUAACGUGAGUGCUUGCACUUGACGACGACCGGCGCACGGGUGCGGAACGCGUAUGGAACCUACCUUUAUCAGGGGGAUAGCCCAUGGAAACGUGGAUUAAUACCCCAUAGUAUUAUAUCAUUGCAUGAUGAUUUAAUUAAAGAAUUUCGGAUAGAGAUGGCCAUGCGUAUCAUUAGCUAGUAGGCGAGGUAACGGCUCACCUAGGCGACGAUGAUUAGGGGUCCUGAGAGGGAGAUCCCCCACACUGGUACUGAGACACGGACCAGACUCCUACGGGAGGCAGCAGUGAGGAAUAUUGGGCAAUGGAGGCAACUCUGACCCAGCCAUGCCGCGUGCAGGAAGACGGCCCUAUGGGUUGUAAACUGCUUUUAUACAGGAAGAAACUGCGCUACGAGUAGCGUACUGACGGUACUGUAAGAAUAAGGAUCGGCUAACUCCGUGCCAGCAGCCGCAGUAACAC